GCGUCGGUGUGCAACGGUUAGCACACGUUUCCGGAAAGAGUGAGACCUGGGUUCGAAUCUCGGCUGACGCA
Molecule: non-coding RNA, 71 nt
Organism: Parelaphostrongylus tenuis
Lineage: Eukaryota; Metazoa; Nematoda; Chromadorea; Rhabditida; Metastrongylidae
Source: the annotation of a GenBank genome assembly